CGGCGCAUGCGGGAGUCGGAAAGGAAAAGUUGAGGGAACCGCCGGGGGCCGUGUGCAGAGGAAGAUGAUUUAUGGGCUGAGAAGAUGUAUCUGAGAGGCGACAACAACAACUGUGAACGCCGUCAGCCCCGUCUGCACUGCUGCCAACGUUGGCUAUGCUAGCAGCGCUGGACGUCGCCAUGUUGAGAGCCGUGUGGAGUCAAUCCCUCAAUCACAUGCUCUGAAAGGCACCUUUUUAAAGCGAGGAGCCAUUUGAAGAACUGUGGAUUCAUAACACCGGGUCCUCCGCUGUUCUUCUCCAAAACAAUUCCUGCGUUCGCUGUUUUGCAUCUUCACUCCUUUUU
Molecule: long non-coding RNA, 344 nt
Organism: Cyclopterus lumpus (lumpfish)
Lineage: Eukaryota; Metazoa; Chordata; Actinopteri; Perciformes; Cyclopteridae
Exons: 3
Source: RefSeq, a predicted model, not a curated record